GUGCUUGCUUUGGCAGCACCUGUAGUAAAAUUGGAACGAUAAAGAGGAGAUUAGCAUAACCCCUGCACAAGGACGACACCCAAAUUUGCGCAGCAUUCCAUAUUUUU
This is a small nuclear RNA of Fukomys damarensis (Damara mole-rat), 107 nucleotides long. Lineage: Eukaryota; Metazoa; Chordata; Mammalia; Rodentia; Bathyergidae. The record is from Ensembl.